CUACGGGGUGCUCCAGUGGGGAAUAUUGCACAAUGGGCGCAAGCCUGAUGCAGCCAUGCCGCGUGUAUGAAGAAGGCCUUCGGGUUGUAAAGUACUUUCAGCGGGGAGGAAGGGAGUAAAGUUAAUACCUUUGCUCAUUGACGUUACCCGCAGAAGAAGCACCGGCUAACUCCGUGCCAGCAGCCGCGGUAAUACGGAGGGUGCAAGCGUUAAUCGGAAUUACUGGGCGUAAAGCGCACGCAGGCGGUUUGUUAAGUCAGAUGUGAAAUCCCCAGGCUCAACCUGGGAACUGCAUCUGAUACUGGCAAGCUUGAGUCUCGUAGAGGGGGGGAGAAUUACAGGUGUAGCGGUGAAAUGCGUAGAGAUCUGGAGGAAUACCGGUGGCGAAGGCGGCCCCCUGGACGAAGACUGACGCUCAGGUGCGAAAGCGUGGGGAGCAAACAGGAUUAGAUACCCUCGUAGUC
RNAcentral lists this ribosomal RNA (464 nucleotides) under uncultured bacterium. Its description in RNAcentral is "partial 16S ribosomal RNA". It matches the Rfam family "Bacterial small subunit ribosomal RNA", at positions 339 to 795 of the family's 1533-position model. The record is from RNAcentral.